RNAcentral lists this long non-coding RNA (5969 nucleotides) under Sus scrofa (pig). RNAcentral describes it as "lncRNA (ENSSSCG00030018272.1)". The record is from RNAcentral. Lineage: Eukaryota; Metazoa; Chordata; Mammalia; Artiodactyla; Suidae.
UUUUUUUUUUUUUUUUUUUUUUUUUUNUUUUUAGGGCUGCACCUGCAGCAUACAGAGGUUACCAGGCUAGGGGUCUAAUCGGAGCUGUAGCCACUGGCAUACGCCAGAGCCAUAGCAACUCUGGAUCAGAGCCGCAUCUGUGACCUACACCACAGCUCAUGGCAAUGCCAGAUCCUUAACCCACUGAGUGAGGCCAGGGGUCAAACCCGCAACCUCAUGGUUUCUAGUCGGAUUUGUUUCUGCUGCCCCACGACGGGAACUCCUCAAUUCAUCUUUAUGCCUUCUUCUCUCCAUAAGUAUUUCUGAGCACACGCUACAUGUAUGCAUCUGUGACAGGGGGCCACGGGCGCAUAAGGCAGUUUCCACCCAGCGCAACUUUGGGUUCAGCCGCUAACAGGCCACCAGCAAGCCCCCCGUGGCUCUGCAGCAGGUUAAGUCUUUGGGAAGGGAGGGGCCCAAGAAAAGGGCUCAGGUAAGACUGAGGUUAGGGAGCCCUGGGGAAAGAAUGGGGUUCGUGGGAGCUACUCAGGGCAGGGACUAUGACUCAAGACAGACCCAAGGUCACCUUGGACCCCCUCAGGCCAACAGCCCCUGGGCUUGCCUUUCAUCAUGUGGGCCCCGCAUCAGAAGGCAGAGCCACCUCAGGGGGCUUCAACCCCCACAUGGGAGGAAAGAACACGCUCCACUCCCCCAAGCUAAUUGCACACAUGGAGAUCUGAGGACAUUUAGUGGCUCCAAGCUCAGUGCCCAGGGAGGGAAGCAGGAUCACAGGGCACAGGGGAUGAAACAGGACCACUGGGCCCCCUCCACCCAGGCUGUGGCAGGAAGGACAAGACCCCAUGCCCCCUUCCCAUCUACCUUAAAGGGAAACAACGACAAACCCUGAGCAAGAACCCCACAGGGGGCCUUCCAGGCGUCCCCAAGCCUCUGCAGGCCUCAGUUCUCCCGCCUGUAAAAUGGGGGCAAGAAUCAGCUUCUGUGCUUGAAAUCACAUGGAUAGAUGAAAAUGCCUCUCCCAGCAGGUGCUCCAGCAACUCACAUGUACAAUGGAACCAGCUCAGGAAGGAUGGGAUCUUGGGCCUGGCCCUUGGGCACGGAGCAGGCCCUCUGGGGAAGUGAGCCCUGCCAGUCCCAUCAGGCCCUGCUUCUGCCUGCCACCGCUGGGGCUCUGCACUCGCUUCCAGCUCUGACUCCCUGGAUGACAGCCAGGGCCAGAAUUGCAAGAUUUCCUGAGGAGGAGAAAAUUAGAUUUUGUUCUGGGUCUGGCUUCCCCUCCUGCUCCUUCUGAAGAUUCUCUGGCUCUGAUGUUCCACUGAGGGGCUAAUUCAGUCUCCACUGGCUUCUCCACUGAGCAGCAGUGAUGAUCAAGGGGGAGACCAAGGGGGAACCUUCCUUCCUGACUCUGGAGGGAUCUACAGGCCAUACUCACGCAGGAGACAGGCUCCCCCAGCCUGCGGGGGCGGUGGAGGGGUAUUGGCAGGGUGCCCCUACCUGGGAUUGGAGACCAUGCUCUCGUCCCAUCUUUGCCACUGAACAGUUGUGUGACCUUGGACCAUCCCCUGUCUGUGCCUCGGUUUCCUUGUGUGAAGGUGGAUGCACUUAUUUCUGCCCUGACUGGCCCUCGCAGGAGCUCAGUAAGCGGAGGUCAGAGAAAGUAUACAGCAGGUGCUACAUCAGGAUGAGUCCCAGCUCCAAAGAGCCUGAAUUGUUUGCAGACACCCUGCUGCCUGGAUGAGAGUGACUCAUGGACCUGAAAGGCUCAGGAGCCCGGCCACAGGCUCUCCCUGCGGCCCCGCUGGAAGGAGGCCACGGUGACUCCAGAGGCCCAUGCACUGGCCCGAGGGCCUGGACCCACCGGGUCUGAAGAAGAGGAGGAAGAAGCACCAGGGCAGAAGUGUCCCCUCAAAAUCGUGGUGCCAGAGUUCCCAUCGUGGCGCAGUGGUUAACGAAUCCAACUAGGAACCAUGAGGUUGCAGAUUUGAUCCCUGGCCUUGCUCAGUGGGUUAAGGAUCUGGUGUUGCUGUGAGCUGUGGCGCAGAUUGCAGAUGCGGCUCGGAUCCUGCAUUGCUGUGGCUGUGGUGUAGGCCGGUGUCUACAGCUCCGAUUGAACCGCUAGCCUGGGAACCUCCAUAUGCCGCUGGAAGCGGCCCUAGAAAAAGGCAAAAAGACACACACACAAAAAAAUCCUGGUGCCUGGCAGACUGGGCCCAGCAUCACACUACCUGCAGAGAGGUCUCCAUAGGUAGCACCAGUUUUCAGUGAGAAUAUGGGCAAAAGAUUUGAGAAGGUACUUUACAAAAAAUGAACAAAUGGCCACCACUGAAUUCACUGUCUGUCUCUCCUUGACGUAAUAGGCAGUCUUUGCCUCUUUCAGAGAGCAAGCACUCUGUCAAAUACACGCGUCGUGAAUCGCGGCUCCCACCUGAGGCAUGUGUUCAAAUGUCUGCACUGCUGGAGAGUCUGGUGGGGAGGGCGUUUAACCAGGGGUCCCAGCGGACCCGCUGUCCUGAUCACAUCUGGCUUCGAGAACCCCACCAAGGUUCACAGUGGAAGGCAAGGCAUAGGAUUAAUCCCCUCUGAACAUGUCUGUGAACUUGUAGAAGGUUGGGCACAGGGAUCCUGACUCACCCUGCCUACACAGAAAGCCCAUGGUCUGAACAUGGAUUCUGGAGUUUUCUGCUAAUUCUGGAGUUCCAUGUUAAUUUUGCCUCACCCCUGCCCUCCCCCACCAAUGUGUGGAGGGGAGCGGAAGGAAAAGAGAUUCCUCAAGACAGCAGAAUGUCCAGGUUCUGCACCCAAUUUGCGGACUGAAGGCCUCUGGCUCUGCCACUCCUGAACCUCCUUAUGCCUCAGUUUCCUUAUCUAUAAAAUGGACACAGCACAGGGCCACAGGGUCACCGAAAGAAUUAAAUGAGACAAUGCAUGCAACGUGCUUAGCCUACCAUACAGUCAGUGCUCAUCAAUAGAUAUUAGACAAUUUUCUUUAUUAGAUGACAAGUGGCUUGAGGCCUCCUAUAGCCUCCCAGCUUUAAAUGGCCACCUGCUAUUUCCACAGGGCUCAGUUUUUCCUUCCAGGAGGCCUCCAACCAGUCUGCUUGCAUCCACCCUGCAGUUCCACACAAAGCUUUAGGAAGGCCUGGGCAGUACGGAGCAUCAAGCCCCAGCAUCCCUGUUCUGAGGCCCAACCUGCUCCCCAGGGAGAAGGGAUGCUGGCCCUCCCUGGACCUCCCAGCUGCCAGGCCAUGCUUCUCUCCCAGACAUUUUUGUCCCAUCCCUUCCCAGGCAGUGGCUCUGUCCUCAUUUGUGCUGGUUCUAUUUUGCUCAUGGCUCCAGCUACCUUCUGGCAGCAAUUUCAGCCAGGGAGUUUACCCAAAGUAAUAACCCAGCCAUCACCCCCAAGAAAGUAGCAAUGAAGUAAAUGCACAUGUGUCCUUUAGUUUUCAGAGAGCUCCUCUGGUUCCUCAAUCCCAGAACAGCAGCUGCCUGAGGACUGGGGAAUGUGCGAGAGAAUCACGCCUUGGCCUCCCUCCAGGGCGAGGGUCUGGGCUCCUCCAGCAAGAGAGCUUCUAUGUCAUCAGUAACAUUCAGUCUGUUUUUGUGGAAGGAAUGGAUGAAAUCAGCUCAGAUUCAUGCAUUUGAUUUCAAUUAAGCAAGAAUUACAGGGCAACUCCUGUUUUCCAAAAACCCUCCACCCAGAACUGAGGAGUUGUCUUUGUAAACCAUGAAUCACCCACCUCCUUGAUGGCAGGGAUGGGGCAGGGGUGUGACUUUGCAGAGCUGUCCACCUGCCUAAGGGACACAUCUCUCAAAAGUCCCACGGACUUAGAAUCCACAGGCACGAUAGAAGUUUUUUCAUUUGUCUGAUCUCCAUUCUGCUUUCCUUGGCUUAACAGAACUAUUUUCUUUUUUGUUUUUUGGGGAUUUUUUUGUUUGUUUUUUGUCUUUUUAGGGCUGCACCUGAGGCAUAUGGAGAGGCCCAAGAAAUAGCAAAAAGGCAAAAAAUAAAUAAAUGAAUAAAUAAAAAAUAGAGACAUCCAGUACCAACCUUUAUAGCCCAGUCCUGACAUCACCGGGAACCAUGCUUCCUCUGUGGACACUGGAAGACUCAAGUCUCCAAGGUCUGGUCCUCCCUGGGCAUCUAAAGAUAGAUUCCACAGAGCUCUCUGGGAGCACUGGGCAGUGUCUUCAGGAGGCAUAGCUGGCCUCUUGCUCUUCAACCCUCUCCACACCCAGCCUCUCCAAAGAGAAGCCUGCUAAUGUGGCAACGGCCAGCCAGGAUGACAUGGAGAUACCCCAUCAUUUCUUGGUCCAGAGAUACAGUAUGUCUUAAGGCAAAAAUCCCCCAGCUCCUUAAAGACCUCUGAUAUAGCAAACUACGGCCGCCGUGCACAAGUGCAUCAGGACCCAAUCCAUGGUCAUUGCCAAGACCCAGCUCAGCUUUUUGAAGGAGGCUUCGUAUAGGAAGUCAGAUCUGACCUAGUCUCUUCCACUUGGUCAAGGGGUGGCCCAUUAUCUGAAGGAGCCCCAGGGAAUCCAUGCUGAAACGUGUCACCUCUUAGUGUCAGAAUCCCAGGUGAGCUGGCUUGUUGGACCUGGUUGGAGCCCCCUGCCACAGAGCGCUGACCAGUGGCUAGUCAUCUCCUCUGCCGUCCUGCCUCACUAACUUCGGAAGCCUUUUGGGGUGACCCCUGGGUAAAUCGGUUUGACCUAAGCACUCUGAAGCCCCAGCCACAUCUGUCCCCAGUGUGAUCUUUGAAAUGCCUUGGUCAUCACUACACACAGUCACAGGCACGAGCCUUCACAGGGCAUGAGAACACAGCCAUUGGUGUGACUUGCCAACCCUUCCCAGCACAUGCCUCCUUUUAAGCAUCUUAUAACAUCAACGAAUAAGAAAAAAUGGCAUCCACGAACAGUACCAGCCAUCGGCAUACCGGAGAGGUAAGGGGUUAUUCAGAGAGGCUUGCUCCGUGACCAUGGGAGGAAAUUGGCCAAACCAGUGGAGACUCCCCCAAGUACAAUUUUAAGACCCAUUCUCUGAGGCAUCCUCAGCAAGGAGAUGGCAGAAUCCACAGAGAGACAAUGCCCCCUCUUGAGUAAGCAAGAGAGAAGAUGCAAUAGUCAUGCCAUGACAUUCAAACCUCAGCGGGGCCGAUGAGUGAACGCAAUGAUACCAACCACUGGCAUUUAUUGGGUACUUCCUCUGUGCUGGACUAGAAGCUUAGAAUUUCACAUUUAUUUUUUCAGUUACUCCUUUUAUACUUGAAGAGAUUGAGAAUCAGAGAGGUUAAGGAUCUUGCCCAAAGUCACAGAGCUAGUAAGUGGCAAACGUAGCUUGAUGCCCAGACCUGUCUGAUUUUAAAAUCCACUCAGCCCACUGCCUGUCUCUGCCAGGUCUCUGCAGCAUGCUCGCUUUAUUAGGACUGGCCCAGAAGCCGCUAAGGCCCUUCCCAUGAAGGGCUGGACCAGGACAUCCUUCAGCAAAGCCAUCUUUGGACCUGGGAGGCUCCCACCUGAUCCGUGAGUAGAACUGGGGUCUCUGGGUCCCCAGGGCUACCCUGACCUACAGAGGCUUGGGUGCCUAGACAUCAGCAAAGCACCAUCUCUUCCACGUGCCCAAAGAGAAAGCCUCCAUCCAGCUGAGGAAUCUUCUUUCCUAUUCUUGACUAAAGGUCACACUUGAGUUGACCUCAAAACCUCCUUCUGCUUCACACUCUCAAGGCCAGAGAUGGAACUGCAUCCCCAGUCCUCCCCCAAAGCCGACCAGUCAACACCCUCCUGACACAGGUCUGGGGGGUCCGAGCUUCACCCUGCCACCCAAAGUUGCAUUGGCCAGAGCCCCGCCCCCUCCCCGAAGUCAGACUGGCCCCCCAAGCUGAGAAUCCUCUUAAGAGUCAAGCCCUUGGAGUUCCCGUCGUGGCACAGUGGUUAACGACCCCGACUAGGAACCAUGAGGUUGUGGGUUCGAUCCC